Molecule: ribosomal RNA, 435 nt
Filed under: uncultured archaeon
Lineage: Archaea
Description: bacterial SSU rRNA
Rfam family: Archaeal small subunit ribosomal RNA
Source: RNAcentral
UACCAGCUCUCCGAGUAGUGUGGAUGUUUAUUGGGCCUAAAGCAUCCGUAGCUUGCUAAGCAAGUCCCCUGUUAAAUCCACCGAUUUAAUCGUUGGAUUGCGGGGGGAUACUGUUUGGCUAGGGGACGGGAGAGGCCGACGGUAUUUCCGGGGGUAGGGGUGAAAUCCUAUAAUCCCGGGAAGACCACCAGUGGCGAAGGCUGUCGGCUAGAACGCGCCCGACGGUGAGGGAUGAAAGCUGGGGGAGCGAACCGGAUUAGAUACCCGGGUAGUCCCAGCUGUAAACGAUGCAGGCUAGGUGUUGGGCGGCCACGAGCCGCCCCAUUCGCCGCAGGGAAGCUGUUAAGCCUGCCGCCGUGGGGAGUACGGCCGCAAGGCUAGAAACUUAAAGGAAGUUGGCGGGGGAGCACCACGAAGGGGUGAAGCUUGCGGUUU